AGCAGUGUGUCAAAAAUAUGAUUGUAGCCUUGGAAAACUCAGUAAGAUCCAUCUCCAACCAAAGCUUCCAGUAUGGACACAGGAGAAAAUCGAGGUUUCCUCUUCCUUCUCCGUGUUGUUUUCUGCUCCAGGGCUUGGUCAUUUGGUACCUGACAUGUAAAUGAAAGUUCAUAUUGUUACCUUAUUCAUAGACCUGGAAGCUAUAGUCUACCAUGAAUUUCUAUACAACCUGGUAUUUCUGUACUUGAAAGAAAUUUGGCUGGGAUCUCUGUGAUAAGACAGCUUCUAAACCAGGUAACGUACGUUGAUAGGUUCACCACUUAGAUUCUUAGCGUUCAACAACCCAGGCGG
Molecule: long non-coding RNA, 351 nt
Filed under: Populus trichocarpa (black cottonwood)
Lineage: Eukaryota; Viridiplantae; Streptophyta; Magnoliopsida; Malpighiales; Salicaceae
Description: long non-coding RNA (PTRI_LNC002445)
Source: RNAcentral